AGCUCCAAUAGCAUAUAUUAAAGUUGUUGCAGUUUAAAACCUUGAAUUUGGAUUUCUAGCUGGGCAUGCGAGUCCGAUCUUAUGAUUGUGCACCAUACAUAUCUGGCCAUCCUUUGGUAAAGCAACAUUGAUAAUAAGUUCUCAGUGUGGGGAUUCCAAUCCUUUACUACAAAGAAGUUAUAGUGUUCAAAACAGGCUUACACUGUUGAAUAUAUCAGCACGAAAUAAGAACAUAGGUAUACUGUAUUAUUUUGUUGGUUUGUGCAUAGUAUUUACAAUUAUUAGGGAAAAUUGUGUUAUUUGUAUUUCAAUGUUAGAGGUGAAAAUCUUGAUUUUUUGGAAGACAAACUAUUGCAAAAGUAUUUACCAAAUAUAUUUUCG
RNAcentral lists this ribosomal RNA (381 nucleotides) under uncultured eukaryote. RNAcentral describes it as "SSU rRNA". It matches the Rfam family "Eukaryotic small subunit ribosomal RNA", at positions 587 to 972 of the family's 1831-position model. The record is from RNAcentral.